RNAcentral lists this ribosomal RNA (372 nucleotides) under uncultured bacterium. Its description in RNAcentral is "bacterial SSU rRNA". It matches the Rfam family "Bacterial small subunit ribosomal RNA", at positions 525 to 896 of the family's 1533-position model. The record is from RNAcentral.
ACGUAGGUGGCAAGCGUUGUCCGGAAUUACUGGGUGUAAAGGGAGCGUAGGCGGGAAGCCAAGUCAGCUGUGAAAACUACAGGCUUAACCUGUAGACUGCAGUUGAAACUGGUUUUCUUGAGUGAAGUAGAGGUUGGCGGAAUUCCGAGUGUAGCGGUGAAAUGCGUAGAUAUUCGGAGGAACACCGGUGGCGAAGGCGGCCAACUGGGCUUUAACUGACGCUGAGGCUCGAAAGUGUGGGGAGCAAACAGGAUUAGAUACCCUGGUAGUCCACACUGUAAACGAUGAUUGCUAGGUGUGGGGGGUCUGACCCCUUCCGUGCCGCAGCUAACGCAAUAAGCAAUCCACCUGGGGAGUACGACCGCAAGGUUG